GUGCCAGCCGCCGCGGUAAUACGGAGGAUGCGAGCGUUAUCCGGAUUUAUUGGGUUUAAAGGGUGCGUAGGCGGAAUAAUAAGUCAGUGGUGAAACCCUGCAGCUUAACUGUAGACUUGCCAUUGAUACUGUUUUUCUUGAGUAUGGUCAAGGCAGGCGGAAUGUGUAAUGUAGCGGUGAAAUGCUUAGAUAUUACACAGAACACCGAUAGCGAAGGCAGCUUGCUGGGCCGUUACUGACGCUGAUGCACGAAAGCGUGGGGAUCGAACAGGAUUAGAAACCCCCGUAGUCC
This 292-nucleotide ribosomal RNA is filed under the name uncultured bacterium. Its description in RNAcentral is "partial 16S ribosomal RNA". It matches the Rfam family "Bacterial small subunit ribosomal RNA", at positions 505 to 796 of the family's 1533-position model. The record is from RNAcentral.